GAUGAACGCUGGCGGCGUGCCUAAUACAUGCAAGUCGAGCGAACAGACGAGGAGCUUGCUCCUCUGACGUUAGCGGCGGACGGGUGAGUAACACGUGGAUAACCUACCUAUAAGACUGGGAUAACUUCGGGAAACCGGAGCUAAUACCGGAUAAUAUAUUGAACCGCAUGGUUCAAUAGUGAAAGACGGUUUUGCUGUCACUUAUAGAUGGAUCCGCGCCGCAUUAGCUAGUUGGUAAGGUAACGGCUUACCAAGGCGACGAUGCGUAGCCGACCUGAGAGGGGGAUAGGCCACACUGGAACUGAGACACGGUCCAGACGCCUACGGGAGGCAGCAGUAGGGAAUCUUCCGCAAUGGGCGAAAGCCUGACGGAGCAACGCCGCGUGAGUGAUGAAGGUCUUCGGAUCGUAAAACUCUGUUAUUAGGGAAGAACAAAUGUGUAAGUAACUAUGCACGUCUUGACGGUACCUAAUCAGAAAGCCACGGCUAACUACGUG
Molecule: ribosomal RNA, 497 nt
Filed under: uncultured bacterium
Lineage: Bacteria
Description: partial 16S ribosomal RNA
Rfam family: Bacterial small subunit ribosomal RNA
Source: RNAcentral